This 265-nucleotide ribosomal RNA is filed under the name uncultured bacterium. RNAcentral describes it as "partial 16S ribosomal RNA". It matches the Rfam family "Bacterial small subunit ribosomal RNA", at positions 524 to 790 of the family's 1533-position model. The record is from RNAcentral.
UACAGAGGGUGCGAGCGUUAAUCGGAAUUACUGGGCGUAAAGCGCGCGUAGGUGGUUAUUUAAGUCGGAUGUGAAAUCCCCGAGCUCAACUUGGGAAUUGCGUUCGAUACUGGGUAGCUAGAGUAUGGGAGAGGAAGGUAGAAUUCCAGGUGUAGCGGUGAAAAUGCGUAGAGAUCUGGAGGAAUACCGAUGGCGAAGGCAGCCUUCUGGCCUAAUACUGACGCUGAGGUGCGAAAGCAUGGGAGCAACAGGAUAGAUACCGACG